Long non-coding RNA from Syzygium oleosum, 911 nucleotides. RefSeq lists it as uncharacterized. The transcript is spliced from 4 exons. NCBI's taxonomy places the organism in Eukaryota, Viridiplantae, Streptophyta, Magnoliopsida, Myrtales, Myrtaceae. The record is from RefSeq and is a predicted model, not a curated record.
GAAGCUGCCACCAAGCUUCCUUCUGUGUCUCUCAUGGCGUAUUCAUUUUUCAUUUUCUCUUUUUGGAUAAUUUCAAGAAAAGAACAGUAUCCAUCUUUUCCUUUUUCUUUCCUCAAUGGCAUCAUUCAGCCUUCUUCAACUCACCUUCAUCAUCUUCUGCUCUCUCUUGCUGUACUCCGAGCUCUGAUCGCAGAAGAGAGAGAGAGAAAGAGAGAGAGAUGUUUGCUCCGCCGGGCUAUCAGCAAGUGUCGCACUUCGAUCACGUCCGUCGGCGCCAUGAAGAAAGAGGCUGCCUCUACGCCUGCCUGUUCGCGCUGUGUUGCUGCUUCUGCUGCUUCGAGACUUGCGAGUACUGCUUGGAGAUGCUCUGUUGUUGCUGCCCCUAAAAUAAACUACACGCAUGAACAUCAUGGAUAUCACUCCCUCAGUUUCUCGUGAUGUUCUGUAGAUCUGGUUUCUUCAGUGUAUCCACUUUGAAAUAAUAUGAAGUCUCGGUUCAUGUAUAUCUUCUAAUAUACCUGAAGAAGUUCAAGGCUUGCGAGUUCUCAUCAAGCUAUUACGUAAUACCCAUUUAGAGCUAUUGUUUCUUAAGAAGAGAUUGAUGGUCUAAAAUUCAGUUUUACUGAAGAAAAUAGAUGGCGGUCUGGGCAACAAUCCAGAAGCAAACGAGACUUGCAUUAGAGCACAUCUUUUGGCAUCAGAAGAAGAAGAAGAAUGAGGGGCUAACCCUCACCGCGAGGCAUACGAAUUCUUGGCCACGAGGGCACUUCCAACUGCGAAAUGCUUGUACUUCGGGACUCGAGUUAUGUCAAGAAACUAAAUGAGUAGAAAAUAUUGGAAGCAACGAAAAUAAACUUCAUGCUACAUGUGCUUCCUUUCCUACUUCUACCCGAUAAUAAGAACCAGAAAAA